ACACUCGCAGCCACUUCUGGUGCUCGCGCGCGCCGUCCGGCGUGUGCAGUUAAACGGGAAACAGCGGGCCUGAACCUGUCGAAUGCGGCUGCCGCGUAGCGGCUUCAGGUCAACCUGUGCUGCCCCCGCAACGGAAGGCGAGCGCAUCGCGGUUGCCGCGGUGCAGAGCCGGCUUCGAGGUCCGCGCGCAAGGCCGCGCGGGCAGAAAAACCACUGCGCGAGAAACUGUUCACUCGCGUGGGAAGGUGAAGCGGCGCUCUCGCCAGCCCGGAUACCGGCCGGAAGACCAGGGUUGAU
Molecule: non-coding RNA, 297 nt
Filed under: Paraburkholderia sp.
Lineage: Bacteria; Pseudomonadati; Pseudomonadota; Betaproteobacteria; Burkholderiales; Burkholderiaceae
Source: RNAcentral